RNAcentral lists this non-coding RNA (26 nucleotides) under Mus musculus (house mouse). Lineage: Eukaryota; Metazoa; Chordata; Mammalia; Rodentia; Muridae. The record is from RNAcentral.
UAGGAAAUAGGAUGAAUGGAGGUUGG